This 575-nucleotide long non-coding RNA is filed under the name Drosophila guanche. The record is from RNAcentral. Lineage: Eukaryota; Metazoa; Arthropoda; Insecta; Diptera; Drosophilidae.
UGGAAAAAGAGUUGUCAAAUUCACCAUAGUGCAAUGCCAAUGCAUUUCAAUGUUCCGUUUUGCGUGCAAACUAGAGUAACUGACUUGGCAAUUCAUAAAUAUACUUUGACUGUCAUAUCGUAUCGUAUAAGUACAUUCAAAUGUUUUGGGAUGGAAGACCGACAUUAUCCCGGUCUGACUAUUUGUAUACACUCUGUAAGAGUACACUCCAACGCUACUCGAAUUAUUGGGGUGUUUGUGCGACGAAUGUAAAACGUUUAUCUGUUGAUUAUCCAAUUUUGUGAUUGGGUGCAGUCCAUUAAUACGAGUAUUACGCAUUAAGCCACUAAUGAGGGAAAAUUUGCCGACAAAAUGCGAAAAGAAAUAAUUAAGUAAAUUUUAAAUUGUAAAAUGCAAUUUCAAUAUAAACGCGCACAGGAAAGUUCACGGCACGACAACGACUCUGAUUGGGAUUGGGACUGGGAUUCGGAUUGGCGGCAGCUGAAGCCGAAGCUCUGGGUGGCUAAGUAUGGGGCUGUGCGCGCCGGCCCAAAACGCUCCGCACGGAGCGACUUUCACUUUCAACUCGAUGCGGC